GAUGAACGCUGGCGGCGUGCCUAAUACAUGCAAGUCGAGCGAACAGAUAAGGAGCUUGCCCCUUUGACGUUAGCGGCGGACGGGUGAGUAACACGUGGGUAACCUACCUAUAAGACUGGAAUAACUCCGGGAAACCGGGGCUAAUGCCGGAUAACAUUUAGAACCGCAUGGUUCUAAAGUGAAAGAUGGUUUUGCUAUCACUUAUAUAUGGACCCGCGCCGUAUUAGCUAGUUGGUAAGGUAACGGCUUACCAAGGCAACGAUACGUAGCCGACCUGAGAGGGUGAUCGGCCACACUGGAACUGAGACACGGUCCAGACUCCUACGGGAGGCAGCAGUAGGGAAUCUUCCGCAAUGGGCGAAAGCCUGACGGAGCAACGCCGCGUGAGUGAUGAAGGUCUUCGGAUCGUAAAACUCUGUUAUUAGGGAAGAACAAAUGUGUAAGUAACUGUGCACGUCUUGACGGUACCUAAUCAGAAAGCCACGGCUAACUACGUG
This 497-nucleotide ribosomal RNA is filed under the name uncultured bacterium. RNAcentral's name for it is "partial 16S ribosomal RNA". It matches the Rfam family "Bacterial small subunit ribosomal RNA", at positions 28 to 507 of the family's 1533-position model. The record is from RNAcentral.